This 1265-nucleotide ribosomal RNA is filed under the name marine metagenome. RNAcentral describes it as "bacterial LSU rRNA". It matches the Rfam family "Bacterial large subunit ribosomal RNA", at positions 950 to 2203 of the family's 2925-position model. The record is from RNAcentral.
GCAACUCCGAAUACCCAAGAGUGCAAUCAUGGGAGACACACGGCGGGUGCUAACGUCCGUCGUGAAAAGGGAAACAACCCAGACCGCCAGCUAAGGUCCCAAACUUCUAGUUAAGUGGGAAACGAUGUGGGAAGGCUCAGACAGCUAGGAGGUUGGCUUAGAAGCAGCCAUCCUUUAAAGAAAGCGUAAUAGCUCACUAGUCGAGUCGGCCUGCGCGGAAGAUAUAACGGGGCUCAAACUAGAGACCGAAGCUGCGGAUGCGUUUAACGCAUGGUAGAGGAGCGUUCUGUAAGCUGUUGAAGCGGAAGCUGUAAGGCACCGUGGAGGUAUCAGAAGUGCGAAUGUUGACAUAAGUAACGAUAAAGGGAGUGAAAAACUCCCUCGCCGGAAGACCAAGGGUUCCUAUCCAACGUUAAUCGGGGUAGGGUGAGUCGACCCCUAAGAUGAGGCUGAAAAGCGUAAUCGAUGGGAAGCAGGUUAAUAUUCCUGCACCUCGCAUAGCUGCGAUGGAGAGACGGAGAAGGCUAGGCUAGCGCGGCGUUGGUUGUCCGCGUUUAAGGAUGUAGGUUUGGAACUUAGGCAAAUCCGGGUUCCUAUAUGACUGAGAUCUGAUGACGAGCUCCUAUAUGGAGUGAAGUAGUUGAUGCCCGGCUUCCAGGAAAAUCUUCUAAGCUUCAGGCUAUGUGGGAUCGUACCCCAAACCGACACAGGUGGUCAGGUUGAGAAUACCAAGGCGCUUGAGAGAACUCGGGUGAAGGAACUAGGCAAAAUGGCACCGUAACUUCGGGAGAAGGUGCGCCGGUUUUGGUGAUGGGACUUGCUCCCUAAGCUGAGGCCGGUCGAAGAUACCAGGUGGCUGCGACUGUUUAUUAAAAACACAGCACUCUGCAAACACGAAAGUGGACGUAUAGGGUGUGACGCCUGCCCGUGCUUGAACGUUAUUUGAUGGGGUUAGCGUAAGCGAAGCUCUUGAUCGAAGCCCAAGUAAACGGCGGCCGUAACUAUAACGGUCCUAAGGUAGCGAAAUUCCUUGUCGGGUAAGUUCCGACCUGCACGAAUGGCGUAACGAUGGCCACACUGUCUCCACCCGAGACUCAGUGAAAUUGAACUCGCUGUGAAGAUGCAGCGUACCCGCGGCUAGACGGAAAGACCCCGUGAACCUUUACUAUAGCUUCACACUGGACUUUGACCUUACUUGUGUAGGAUAGCUGGGAGGCUUUGAAACUUGGACGCCAGUUCAAGUGGAGCCGAUCUUGAAAUACCAG